RNAcentral lists this ribosomal RNA (1572 nucleotides) under Triticum aestivum (bread wheat). Its description in RNAcentral is "partial small subunit ribosomal RNA". The record is from RNAcentral. Lineage: Eukaryota; Viridiplantae; Streptophyta; Magnoliopsida; Poales; Poaceae.
AUGGUGAUUCUACCCGGGUGUGGUGAUCUACAAACAGCCGAAGGAGCAGCUCACGAGGAAUUGGGAGUUGCGCUGUAUCGUCUUAUGAGUGCAGUUCCCACCGGCUGGACUUGGUGGAAUUGGCGAACAACAGAAGCUGAAACAAUAUACCACUUCAUUCAAGAACUGCGAAUGGAGAUUUCGAUAUACAGAGACUGGGGUGUGAAAAUUUCUGCCGAGGAGCAUCGUUUCACCGAAAUGCUUAAAACUGUGCUUGAUAGAGCAGACAAGUUCUUGUCUGCUGGAAACACCAUCUUACAUGGCCAAGCUCAGGUAACGAAGGGAGGAAACACUCUACUGAAGUCUCUGAAUGCUGUUUCUUCUGAGGUGGUCCAGAUUUCUGGGAAAACUUCGCCCAAGCAAAGCAGUUACAUUACGAAUCGUCCUUGCCCAUUAUAUGGCGCGAACUGUGUCUGUGUACGCUUUCUUGGUUGCAUAAUGGAAGGUCCCAGUGUGCAAAACUAUAUCGCGGAUCCUUAUGAGUUAGGUGGCAUUUCUGAGAAGCCCAAACCCCAGUUACCAAAUACUUGCUCAGAUGAAUGCAAGGAUGUGCAUGGUCUAACUGGCGCUGAACCAGAAAAUCAAUGCGUGUUUUUGGCUUCGACUGACCCAAUCAACGUAGUGAAGUCUGGAGGAAUCGAUUGGGCACUUCUCACCCCGGUUUACUACAGAGGAACCUUUCAUCGGGCAGCUUCUGUUGUACAUCUCGAUGUGCCCCCGGCUCCAAUACACACAAGGAGGAUGGGUAUGAUGCGAGAUAUAUAUGCUAUUGAGGAUGUCGCAUGGUACAAAGAUCAGACUUCUUCUAUUGAACGUGAAGCAUCGUCGUUCAUCCAAUUUUCCGUGGAAACUUCACCCAAGGGAGGCGUUGACAUUAAGAUUGGUUCAUACAAAAUACAUGUGCCGAAAUAUGGAAGUGUACACCGCCCACUCGUUCAAAUGGUGCUCUUUGCUGACUCGCUGUAUGGUGCAACAUUAGCAUGUCUCAAAUCUAUUGUGCCCAAAGGCAUCGUUAAUCUUUAUGAAUCAGGUCGCAUUUCUCAGAAGCCCAUACCGCAGUCAACUAAUCCAAUUGUGGACGAUCUCACUCACGCUGAACCGGAAAAUUAUGUCACUACUGAUUAUGUCGACCGUCGCAUCUGUGGCAAUAUUGAGGCAGAGGGGAAAACCGCAGCUACCUGGCUGAUUGAUACCGGCGCUGUGCACCACGCAACAGGAAAGCUUUCACUCAUGUCUGACGUAACAACUGAAGCUGAUGAUGAUCUCUUCAUGACGGCGCGGGAUGGUGUUCGCAUGCGGGUCCAUGCCCAAGGCUCUGUGAUAACCGAUACGGUGGUUCUCCCGGACGUGUGGUACAUCCCAGGCCUCACCAAGAACGUUGUCUCAGCUUCCCAGCUCAAUCAGCUCGGCUACAGCAUCGGGUUUACCCGCGGCACAUGCUUCAUCAGGAGUGCUACUGAUGGCACACUCAUUGGCAAAGGGCAUGUUUCAGAAGAUGGGCUCUUUGAGACGGACUUCCUCAAAGUCAGUUAG